RNAcentral lists this ribosomal RNA (254 nucleotides) under uncultured bacterium. Its description in RNAcentral is "partial 16S ribosomal RNA". It matches the Rfam family "Bacterial small subunit ribosomal RNA", at positions 524 to 776 of the family's 1533-position model. The record is from RNAcentral.
UACGGGGGGGGCAAGCGUUGUUCGGAAUUACUGGGCGUAAAGGGCUCGUAGGCGGCCAACUAAGUCGGACGUGAAAUCCCCAGGCUCAACCUGGGAACUGCGUCCGAUACUGGAUGGCUUGAAUUCGGGAGAGGGAUGCAGAAUUCCAGGUGUAGCGGUGAAAUGCGUAGAUAUCUGGAGGAAUACCGGUGGCGAAGGCGGCAUCCUGGACCGGCAUUGACGCUGAGUGAGCGAAAGCCAGGGGAGCAAACGGG